RNAcentral lists this ribosomal RNA (512 nucleotides) under uncultured bacterium. Its description in RNAcentral is "partial 16S ribosomal RNA". It matches the Rfam family "Bacterial small subunit ribosomal RNA", at positions 28 to 507 of the family's 1533-position model. The record is from RNAcentral.
GAUGAACGCUGGCGGCGUGCCUAAUACAUGCAAGUCGAACGAAACUUCUUUAUCACCGUGUGCUUGCACUCACCGAUAAAGAGUUGAGUGGCGAACGGGUGAGUAACACGUGGUCAACCUGCCCAAAAGAGGGGGAUAAUACUCGGAAACAGGUGCUAAUACCGCAUAACCAUAGUUACCGCAUGGUAACUUGGUCAAAGGUGGCUAUACUUCCGCUUUUGGAUGGGCCGGGGGCGCAUUAGCUAGUGGGUAGGGUAAAGGCUUACCAAGGCAAUGAUGCGUACCGGAAUUGAGAGGAUGAGCGGCCACAGGGGAACGGAGACACGGCCAAGACUCCUACGGGAGGCAGCAGUGGGGAAUCUUCGACAAUGGGCGAAAGCCUGAUGGAGCCACGCCGCGUGGGUGAAGAAGGCCUUCGGAUCUUAAAGCCCUUUUGUUGGAAAAGAAAGGCAGUAGGUUAAUACCCCGCUGUUCUGACGGUACCUAAAGAAAAAGCACCGGCUAACUACGUG